GAAUAACCUUGGGAAACGGGGGCUAAUACCGCAUACGAUCCUUCGGGAUGAAAGUCUUCGGACGCUCGAGGAGGGGCCCGCGCCCGAUUAGCUAGUUGGUAGGGUAAAGGCCUACCAAGGCUCCGAUCGGUAGCCGGCCUGAGAGGGCACACGGCCACACUGGCACUGAGACACGGGCCAGACUCCUACGGGAGGCAGCAGUGGGGAAUCUUGGACAAUGGGGGAAACCCUGAUCCAGCGACGCCGCGUGACCGAUGAAGCCUUUCGGGGUGUAAAGGUCUUUCAGCGGGGACUAUCAUGAAGGUACCCGCAGAAGCAGCUGCGGCUAACUACGUGCCAGCAGCCGCGGUAAUACGUAGGCAGCAAGCGUUGUUCGGAAUUACUGGGCGUAAAGCGAGUGUAGGCGGUUUGCCAAGUCCGCUGUGAAAUCUCCCGGCUCAACUGGGAGGGUGCGGCGGAAACUGGCAGGCUCGAGUGCGGGAGAGGAGAGUGGAAUUCCUGGUGUAGCGGUGAAAUGCGUAGAUAUCAGGAGGAACACCGGUGGUGAAGACGGCUCUCUGGACCGCCACUGA
This 572-nucleotide ribosomal RNA is filed under the name uncultured bacterium. RNAcentral's name for it is "bacterial SSU rRNA". It matches the Rfam family "Bacterial small subunit ribosomal RNA", at positions 141 to 743 of the family's 1533-position model. The record is from RNAcentral.